RNAcentral lists this ribosomal RNA (253 nucleotides) under uncultured bacterium. Its description in RNAcentral is "partial 16S ribosomal RNA". It matches the Rfam family "Bacterial small subunit ribosomal RNA", at positions 524 to 776 of the family's 1533-position model. The record is from RNAcentral.
UACGUAGGGUGCAAGCGUUGUCCGGAUUUAUUGGGCGUAAAGAGCUCGUAGGCGGCUUGUCGCGUCGACCGUGAAAACUCGCAGCUCAACUGCGAGCCUGCGGUCGAUACGGGCAGGCUAGAGUUCGGUAGGGGAGACUGGAAUUCCUGGUGUAGCGGUGAAAUGCGCAGAUAUCAGGAGGAACACCGGUGGCGAAGGCGGGUCUCUGGGCCGAUACUGACGCUGAGGAGCGAAAGCGUGGGGAGCGAACAGG